RNAcentral lists this unclassified non-coding RNA (272 nucleotides) under Piscirickettsia salmonis. RNAcentral's name for it is "partial 16S-23S ribosomal RNA intergenic spacer". Lineage: Bacteria; Pseudomonadati; Pseudomonadota; Gammaproteobacteria; Thiotrichales; Piscirickettsiaceae. The record is from RNAcentral.
UAUUGUUUAGUGAGAAUGAUAUUUGUUCUUUAACAAUGUGGUAAAAAGUAUAAGUAAAGAUUCCUUGAUUAAUUUAGGGUUAUUUUUAGUUUAGGUUGAGAUGUAUUUUUAUGUCUUGAUUGAUUAUUAGAAAUAAUUUUUAGUUUAUUUAAUUAACGAGUCUUGGUAAUUUUUGAAAACUCGGUGUUGAGGAUAUAGUUUUGAUUGGUAUUAGUUAAUAGAAUUUUAGAUUUAUUCGAUAUAAGACUUUUUAGGGUUAUAGGUGAUCACGU